UGGGGGAUAUUGCGCAAUGGGGGCAACCCUGACGCAGCAACGCCGCGUGAAGGAUGAAGGUUUUCGGAUUGUAAACUUCUUUUAUUAAGGACGAAAAUUGACGGUACUUAAUGAAUAAGCUCCGGCUAACUACGUGCCAGCAGCCGCGGUAAAACGUAGGUCACAAGCGUUGUCCGGAAUUACUGGGUGUAAAGGGAGCGCAGGCGGGACUGCAAGUUGGAUGUGAAAUCCAUGGGCUCAACCCAUGAACUGCUUUCAAAACUGUUUUUCUUGAGUAGUGCAGAGGUAGGCGGAAUUCCCGGUGUAGCGGUGGAAUGCGUAGAUAUCGGGAGGAACACCAGUGGCGAAGGCGGCCUACUGGGCACCAACUGACGCUGAGGCUCGAAAGUGUGGGUAGCAAACAGGAUUAGAUACCCUGGUAGUCCACACUGUAAACGAUGAUUACUAGGUGUUGGAGGAUUGACCCCUUCAGUGCCGCAGUUAACACAAUAAGUAAUCCACCUGGGGAGUACGACCGCAAGGUUGAAACUCAAAGGAAUUGACGGGGGCCCGCACAAGCAGUGGAGUAUGUGGUUUAAUUCGACGCAACGCGAAGAACCUUACCAGGUCUUGACAUCCUGCGACGGUGCUGGAAACAGAACUUUCCUUCGGGACGCAGAGACAGGUGGUGCAUGGUUGUCGUCAGCUCGUGUCGUGAGAUGUUGGGUUAAGUCCCGCAACGAGCGCAACCCUUAUGGUCAGUUACUACGCAAGAGGACUCUGGCCAGACUGCCGUUGACAAAACGGAGGAAGGUGGGGAUGACGUCAAAUCAUCAUGCCCUUUAUGACUUGGGCUACACACGUACUACAAUGGCGUUAAACAAAGAGAAGCAAGACCGCGAGGUGGAGCAAAACUCAGAAACAACGUCCCAGUUCGGACUGCAGGCUGCAACUCGCCUGCACGAAGUCGGAAUUGCUAGUAAUCGCAGAUCAGCAUGCUGCGGUGAAUACGUUCCC
RNAcentral lists this ribosomal RNA (996 nucleotides) under uncultured bacterium. Its description in RNAcentral is "bacterial SSU rRNA". It matches the Rfam family "Bacterial small subunit ribosomal RNA", at positions 355 to 1375 of the family's 1533-position model. The record is from RNAcentral.